This 331-nucleotide ribosomal RNA is filed under the name Chionelasmus darwini. Its description in RNAcentral is "partial 12S ribosomal RNA". It matches the Rfam family "Microsporidia small subunit ribosomal RNA", at positions 756 to 1203 of the family's 1311-position model. Lineage: Eukaryota; Metazoa; Arthropoda; Thecostraca; Balanomorpha; Chionelasmatidae. The record is from RNAcentral.
AGUAAAAUUAAAGAAAUUUAACGGAUUUGGCGGCAAGAUAGUCUAUUUAGAGGAACCUGCCCUAUAAACGAUGAUCCACGAGAGACUUUACUCUUUUUAGUAGUCAGUUUGUAUACCGCUGUUGUCAGUUGGUUUCUUUAGAAAACUUUCAGUAAUGAUAUAUUCAUAGACUUCAAGUAAAGGUGCAGCUUAUAAAGGAGAGAGAGGUGGGUUACAAUUGUAAGAACAAAAAACGGAAGGUGGGAUGAAAAACCGCUGGAAGGUGGAUUUAAUUGUAAAAUUUUAAAUAUUUUGAUUUAAGCUCUGUCUUGUGUACAAACCGCCCGUCGUC